GACCUCCCCGUCGGACUGCCCGUCCUCGACUCUCCCUCGUCGGCUCCGUCGCCCGCCACCUCGUACUCCCAUCUCCCUCUCCCUCGACGGAUCUGCUCGCGCACGAUGACGCCGUCCCCAUCGCCGGAGCAUGCCGCCAUCAAGCUCUUCCCGAGUACGCUAUUGCACGCCUACAGGGCCCGGUGAGCGCGCCCUCGAUCCCCAUUUCGCCCCCGUCUCUUUGCCGUUCGCCACACCAUGCACGUCGCUGCGCGUCCGCGGCCAUGUGCCCGUGCCACUUUCGUCGUGCCUGCCAGCUCCACGCCACCUUCCCGCGCCCAAGGUCGUCGUGGCCGUGUUUUGCCCGCGCCCGUGCCUGCCCCUUGCUCACCGCCUCGCCAUCCGCCGCCCGUGUUGGCCCCGACCGUUGUCCCGUUCUGCACUGCUGCUGAAGCCGAAGGCCACCGUUGCUCGCCCUGCCCGGCCACCGCUCCCCGCGCCCACCUCCGCAACCGAUUGCUGCCCCGCGCCCCAGCACCACCCCGCAGUGGCCUUGCCACUGCCGCCUCCGGCGGCUAGCCUCGUUGCGCCUGUGGCCGGCGCCCCCUGUCAAUCUGGGCGUAUGCCCAAUCGGGCUGGGCACCAGCGCCCGUUAACGCGCGACCCACUAUGGCCCUCUGGGCCACUGCCAAACGGGGCCGACGCCCCAGAACCUUUUAUAGAAAAAAGGAAGGAAAGGAAUUAAAACAAAUAAAUAAUAAUUAAAAUAUCAAUUAAUUAUUAAUUAAAGAAUUAAUUAACUUAAUUAAUCUUGUUUAAUUAACCUAAUUAACUGUUGUUAUUUAACUAAACAGUCAAUGACAGCUUGGACCCACACGUCAGUUUGACCUAGUUAACACCUUGUUGACUGCUGACGUCAUGAUGACGUAGCUCGGAUGGAAAAUAAAUUCUAAAAAUGAUUAAAUCUUUUAUAAUUAAUAUAAAAUAAACCGUAGCUCGGAUGGAAAAAUUUUGUACAUGAAAGUUGCUCAGAACGACGAGACGAAUCCUGAUACGCAACCCGUUCGUCCGCCCCGCGUCCUUAGCAUAGUGAAUCUGCAACAUUUCACCUCCGGUUUUUCUGUCCGAAAACGCGAAACACCGGGGAUACUUUUCUGAAUGUUUCCCCCCUUCGCCAGUAUCACCUACUACCGCGUUAGGGCACAUCUAACACCGCUCAUUAUCAUGUCAUGCAUCGUCAUGCUUAUGUUUGCAUUGUAUUUACUGUUUCUUCCCCUUCUUCUUUCCGGUAGACUAUGAGACCGACGCUGCUGCUGCCCAGUUCGACUACGGAGUUGACGACCCCGUCCUUGCCAGAGCAACCAG
RNAcentral lists this long non-coding RNA (1344 nucleotides) under Triticum aestivum (bread wheat). RNAcentral's name for it is "long non-coding RNA (TAES_LNC006204)". Lineage: Eukaryota; Viridiplantae; Streptophyta; Magnoliopsida; Poales; Poaceae. The record is from RNAcentral.